AUUGAACGCUGGCGGCAUGCCUUACACAUGCAAGUCGAACGGCAGCACGGGAGCAAUCCUGGUGGCGAGUGGCGAACGGGUGAGUAAAGUAUCGGAACGUGCCCAGUCGUGGGGGAUAACGUAGCGAAAGUUACGCUAAUACCGCAUACGAUCUGUGGAUGAAAGCGGGGGAUCGCAAGACCUCGCGCGAUUGGAGCGGCCGAUAUCAGAUUAGGUAGUUGGUGGGGUAAAGGCUCACCAAGCCGACGAUCUGUAGCUGGUCUGAGAGGACGACCAGCCACACUGGGACUGAGACACGGCCCAGACUGCUACGGGAGGCAGCAGUGGGGAAUUUUGGACAAUGGGCGCAAGCCUGAUCCAGCCAUGCCGCGUGCAGGAUGAAGGCCUUCGGGUUGUAUACUGCUUUUGUACGGAACGAAAAGGUUUGACUUAAUACGUUGGACUCAUGACGGUACCGUAAGAAUAAGCACCGGCUAACUACGUGCCAGCAGCCGCGGUAA
RNAcentral lists this ribosomal RNA (500 nucleotides) under uncultured bacterium. Its description in RNAcentral is "partial 16S ribosomal RNA". It matches the Rfam family "Bacterial small subunit ribosomal RNA", at positions 30 to 523 of the family's 1533-position model. The record is from RNAcentral.